UAGCACGUGGGUACCUACCUUGAGGUGAGGAAUACCACCGAGAAAUCGGUGACAAGACCGCAUGUCUUCGCAAGAAGAAAGUCUCGUAAGAGACGCCACAAGAUGGGCCUGCGCCUGAUUAGCUAGUUGGUGGGGUAAAAGCCUACCAAGGCCACGAUCAGUAGCUGGUCUGAGAGGAUGAUCAGCCACACUGGGAUUGAGUAUGGCCCAG
Molecule: ribosomal RNA, 211 nt
Filed under: uncultured bacterium
Lineage: Bacteria
Description: partial 16S ribosomal RNA
Rfam family: Bacterial small subunit ribosomal RNA
Source: RNAcentral